GCCCAGCAGCCGUCGCACUCUCGCCACGCUCGCUAAGCCCCAUCUGUUCCGCCUCUUCCGCAUCGUACACAUGACCCUCUGUAGCUCAACCGCCUCAAAGCUGUCGCCCUCCCCACCCCAAAACCCUAGCUCUGUUCCACCGCUCCCCUUCUCCCUGUUGCCGUUGUCGCGGCAGUUGAGAAUAGUGGCGGCAAGAUCUCAUGGAGAGAAGCUAUGCGGACUCCCAGAAAAGGCGAAAUCAUCGUGCGAUUGUGGAGAUUGUCGAUGGGAGGCUCCACCAGCGCUAGGGUGCGGCCAACAAGACGCUGCUCGCCACCGCUUGAGUCGGUAGUGAGAUCUUAGGGGGAGAAGCCCUGCAGCCCCCAUGCUCCCACUCCCUCCUGCACCCCACGCUUACCGGCGAGCCGCUCGACCUCAUUGGAGCUUGCCAAGCCGUCAUGUGCCCCAGUGCGGUGGUCGACAUCAUCCACGGCGUCGACCGCGUGCUGGUCCUGCGCUCAAUGCAGGAGUCCUUCAACUGGCGGCGGUGGAGCAACCGUACUACCACAGCGCGUACACAGGACGCAGAGAACAACUCCAGAAGGCGAGCCCCAACCCCUAGAUCUGCGAUGCAGUCUUCUCAACUGAAAAAAGAGGGCAGAGAACAACUCCAGAAGGCGAGCCCCAACCCCAGAUCUGCGUUGUAGUCUUCUCGACUGAAAAAAGAGGGCAUCUCUACCGCCACCAACCACUAGCAGGCGGCAGACGUUGCUGGCAAUAGGCAAUGGCAUGCAUCAGGCAUUGUUUGCACAAAGGACGGAGAUCUGUCGUCGAAGACCACCUCAUUGUUUCUCAUGGCAGGCUUGCUUGCUCUAGCUUGGCACAAUAUGUCGCUUCAGGCUUCAGUCGGUUAUGUGAUCACCAGAACAUUAUGGGCUCUAAAGUAGGACUUUUGAGAAAUGCCAGGCGAUGGUGCAUGCAUGAUGAAGCUGUUGUCCAUUAUAUUGACAUGAUUGAUCAGACCACGCUUGGUCACCGGAUGAUCAAGAAACAAUUCAACAAGACUCCAAGAGCUGGCUGGCAAAUCGAUCCUUUUGGACAUUCUGCAGUUCAAGCUUAUUUGCUUGGAGCAGAGAUUGAAAUUUGUAGGAUGACAUACUGAUGUUUGACUAUAAUGUUGAAGAACGAGUUAAUGAUUUUGUUGUUGUAGCCAUAGAACAGGUAAACUUUCAAUAUUGUUGCCACAGGCUGUAGUUCACUAGAGCAAUUAAUUAUGCUUCGUUCAAAGUAAGAAAUUGGAUUUAAUUAACUUGUGAUGAUCAGGCAAAUUUUACGCGUACAAACCACAUAAUGUGGACCAUGGGAGAUGAUUUUAGUUAUCAGUAUGCAGAAUCUUGGUUCCGGAAUAUGGACAAACUUAUCUAUCAUGUGAACAAGCUAUGCUGAUUCAAAAAAUUCAUAUUGGACUGGGUACUAUACAAGCCGUCCAACUUUCAAGCGAUAUGUUCGAGUGUUGAGUGGUUAUUACCUG
This is an RNA transcript of Zea mays, 1510 nucleotides long. It is a transcript of the gene named alpha-mannosidase, with no coding region annotated. The transcript is spliced from 6 exons. The record is from RefSeq and is a predicted model, not a curated record. NCBI's taxonomy places the organism in Eukaryota, Viridiplantae, Streptophyta, Magnoliopsida, Poales, Poaceae.